Long non-coding RNA from Populus trichocarpa (black cottonwood), 718 nucleotides. RefSeq lists it as uncharacterized. The transcript has 3 exons. Lineage: Eukaryota; Viridiplantae; Streptophyta; Magnoliopsida; Malpighiales; Salicaceae. The record is from RefSeq and is a predicted model, not a curated record.
AAUAUCCGUUCAUGUCUAUCAAAAUCUGCCUUAAUACUCGCUAUUUCUCCUCCUCUUCCUCACCCCGCAUCUUUCUCUCUUUCUCAUUUUUGGCUUUUCCUUAUCCUUUUUCCCUCUCUCUCUUUCUCUUUGAUUCCUGAAAUAUUUAUGCUCUUUUCUUGGACCAAUUGCCAUUAGAUUUUGAUGUCGUCGCAAGACCAGGGAAGGCCACUGCCAAAGUUUGGUGAGUGGGAUGUGAACAAUCCUGCGUCUGCAGAAGGAUUUACUGUCAUCUUUAGCAAAGCCAGAGAUGAAAAGAAAUCGGGUGCUGCAGCUGGGGCUGGUGCUGCUUCGCAAAGGAAAACUAAUUCAUCUCAAGCAAAUAGUCAGUGUCCCCCACCGAAGAAAAGGUUUUGCUGUUUCUAAGACCAAUGGUGGCUUUGGGGGCUAAUCAGGUCGUGCAAUUUGAUCAUCGUGCUAUGGAAGUUCUUCCCAAGUUUGCAUUUCGGGUUGAUUGUGGGGAAUGAGUGCCUGCUGUUCCCUUUCUCUCCACUGCUGCCCCCUGCUCACUUAUGUACGUAUUUUAGGAGAAAACAUUGAUGAUAAACACAACGACUUCAGCUGUAGUUUCUUAUUUUCAUCUAUUUCCAUACAACUUUUGCUGAUGAAUCAGCUAUCUGUCAACCUUAAAGACUGAGUUUCGCUAAAGUUGGAGAUUCAUAGAAAAGUAUUCUAUAUA